GAUGAACGCUAGCGGCAGGCCUAACACAUGCAAGUCGAGGGGUAACUAGAGUGAUAGCAAUAUUACUUUGGCUAGACCGGCGCACGGGUGCGUAACACGUAUGCAACCUACCUUAUACUGGGGAAUAACUUCGAGAAAUCGGCGCUAAUACCCCAUAACACUGCGGAGAGGCAUCUCUUUGCAGUUAAAGCUCCGGCGGUAUAAGAUGGGCAUGCGUCCAAUUAGCUAGUUGGUGAGGUAACGGCUCACCAAGGCUACGAUUGGUAGGGGUUCUGAGAGGAUGAUCCCCCACACUGGUACUGAGACACGGACCAGACUCCUACGGGAGGCAGCAGUGAGGAAUAUUGCGCAAUGGACGAAAGUCUGACGCAGCCAUGCCGCGUGCAGGAUGACGGCCCUAUGGGUUGUAAACUGCUUUUGUACGGGAAUAAACCCUUCUACGUGUAGGAGGCUGAAGGUACCGUAAGAAUAAGCACCGGCUAACUCCGUGCCAGCCGCCGCGGUAA
Molecule: ribosomal RNA, 506 nt
Filed under: uncultured bacterium
Lineage: Bacteria
Description: partial 16S ribosomal RNA
Rfam family: Bacterial small subunit ribosomal RNA
Source: RNAcentral